ACACCCUUCACCGUUAAUAUAGUUUCAAAACAAACAUUAGACUGUGGCUCUAAAAAUAGGAGUUAAAAUCUCCUUAUAAACCGAGAGAGGUAUUAUACAAUAAGAACUGCUAACUCCUAUAU
RNAcentral lists this unclassified non-coding RNA (122 nucleotides) under Cuora flavomarginata (Chinese box turtle). RNAcentral describes it as "partial contains tRNA-His, tRNA-Ser and tRNA-Leu". The stretch from base 13 to 82 matches the Rfam family "tRNA". Rfam says of the family: Transfer RNA (tRNA) molecules are approximately 80 nucleotides in length. Their secondary structure includes four short double-helical elements and three loops (D, anti-codon, and T loops). Lineage: Eukaryota; Metazoa; Chordata; Testudines; Geoemydidae. The record is from RNAcentral.